CACUGGGGGCGUGGCACACUGUGGAUUCAUGGCCCAAGGAUGAAAUCACUCUGGGAUUUCAACCAACAACCUUCCGAUCACAGCAUACUAACCUGUUGAGUUAACCUGCCUGUUAUUUAACACAGAAGGCCAGCACAAAUGAUGUAACCUAUAAUUAGCUCUUCAAAAGUUGCAGAUUUACAAUAAGGCAACAUGGUGGUCCUGUUUCAGAACCAGCAUCAGUACUGGCACACGACCAAGGCCGCUGAAGAUUUGUGUUGGCAUAGCUUGCUGCAGUUGGAGACACCCUGACAAUAGAAAGUGAACAGUUAGGCAUAACAAUGACAGAGACUCACUGCAAGACAUUAGACAGCAGAGAGGCGUAAAUAUGAGGUAGUUGAUAAACGUCUGCGUUUGUAUAAGCCCCAGCCAGCGGCCAUCCGUAUGGCAGACUGGGCACCCUGUCUCUGUGUAUGAAGAUAGGUCAUACUAUCUAAAUACCAUUAACGGUGCGAGUACUGCAGGUUCCAGAUGCUGUUCUUGGUGUUUACGGCGUGCGAGUACUGCAGGUUCCAGAUGCUGUUCUUGCUGUUUACGGCGUGCACUCGCAUGCAAUUCCUUUGCAGACAUACCCAUGCUGUGCCUUCUCAGUCUCACCUGCUUUCACAUGUACACUGUAUGAAACAUGCUGCAGCGUGACUCAGCACGCCCCCCACCCCUGGCCCACCCCCGGAUACAGGCUCCCCCUUCAGCGCGGUCAGAUUCUGCGCUCAGUCUUUGGAGCAUCGCGGCCUGCUGUGUGUCUGCGCAGAAUUAAAAUCCAACUUAUCAACCCGCACGUGUCCAUUUGCAGUGAUUUCCAAGGCAGGCCGUGUGUUUCUCCAUGAGAAAUGCUGACACAGAAGGUUGCUGCCCCACUGUCUCCACCGCCCGUGGUACAGCAGGGGCUCUGAUGCAGGUGCAGGCGAGGUGCUGGUGUCAGCAGAACCUGGGAGCAGACUGUGGGCUCCUUACCUAAACCUCACAGAGGGUCUCCAUGGACACCAGAACCUAAAGUCAGAAGGUUCCGCAGGUUAGUUAUGGGGCAGUGUGGGACCACAAGAACACUGUGCGGAGGUGGCAGGGGUCGAUAAGCAAACAGAUACUCACCUAUAAAAAUGCAAUUGUACUGGGUAAAAGGUACCAAAAAAUAAAACGAAUAUUAAUAAUCAU
Long non-coding RNA from Brienomyrus brachyistius, 1191 nucleotides. RefSeq lists it as uncharacterized. The record is from RefSeq and is a predicted model, not a curated record. The transcript has 2 exons. Lineage: Eukaryota; Metazoa; Chordata; Actinopteri; Osteoglossiformes; Mormyridae.